GGAGUUAGCCGGUGCUUCUUCUGCGAGUAACGUCACAGAUGUAAGGUAUUAACUUACACCCUUUCCUCCUCGCUGAAAGUGCUUUACAACCCGAAGGCCUUCUUCACACACGCGGCAUGGCUGCAUCAGGGUUUCCCCCAUUGUGCAAUAUUCCCCACUGCUGCCUCCCGUAGGAGUCUGGGCCGUGUCUCAGUCCCAGUGUGGCUGAUCAUCCUCUCAGACCAGCUAGGGAUCGUCGCCUAGGUGAGCCUUUACCUCACCUACUAGCUAAUCCCACCUGGGCUUAUCCAUCAGCGCAAGGCCCGAAGGUCCCCUGCUUUCCCCCGUACGGGCGUAUGCGGUAUUAGCAGUCGUUUCCAACUGUUAUCCCCCACCAAAUGGGCAAAUUCCCAGGCAUUACUCACCCGUCCGCCGCUCGUCAUCUUCAAAAGCAAGCUUUUGAAAUGUUACCGCUCGACUUGCAUGUGUUAGGCCUGCCGCCAGCGUUCAAUCUGAGCCAGGAUCAAACUCUGA
This 513-nucleotide ribosomal RNA is filed under the name uncultured bacterium. RNAcentral's name for it is "partial 16S ribosomal RNA". The record is from RNAcentral.